Molecule: ribosomal RNA, 714 nt
Filed under: Rhodobacteraceae bacterium 2.3.053MS1
Lineage: Bacteria; Pseudomonadati; Pseudomonadota; Alphaproteobacteria; Rhodobacterales; Paracoccaceae
Description: bacterial SSU rRNA
Rfam family: Bacterial small subunit ribosomal RNA
Source: RNAcentral
CGAGCGCACUCUUCGGAGUGAGCGGCGGACGGGUUAGUAACGCGUGGGAAUAUACCCAGAUCUAAGGAAUAGCCACUGGAAACGGUGAGUAAUACCUUAUACGCCCUUCGGGGGAAAGAUUUAUCGGAUUUGGAUUAGCCCGCGUUAGAUUAGAUAGUUGGUGGGGUAAUGGCCUACCAAGUCUACGAUCUAUAGCUGGUUUUAGAGGAUGAUCAGCAACACUGGGACUGAGACACGGCCCAGACUCCUACGGGAGGCAGCAGUGGGGAAUCUUGGACAAUGGGCGCAAGCCUGAUCCAGCCAUGCCGCGUGAGUGAUGAAGGCCUUAGGGUCGUAAAGCUCUUUCGCCAGGGAUGAUAAUGACAGUACCUGGUAAAGAAACCCCGGCUAACUCCGUGCCAGCAGCCGCGGUAAUACGGAGGGGGUUAGCGUUGUUCGGAAUUACUGGGCGUAAAGCGCGCGUAGGCGGGUUGUUAAGUUAGAGGUGAAAUCCCGGGGCUCAACCCCGGAACUGCCUUUAAUACUGGCAACCUAGAGUUCGAGAGAGGUGAGUGGAAUUCCGAGUGUAGAGGUGAAAUUCGUAGAUAUUCGGGAGGAACACCAGUGGCGAAGGCGGCUCACUGGCUCGAUACUGACGCUGAGGUGCGAAAGUGUGGGGGAGCAAACAGGAUUAGAUACCCUGGUAGUCCACACCGUAAACGAUGAAUGCCAGUC